UCAAAAGAAUUAGGGACGGGGAGGGUUUUCUUCAAAAAUCAAGGGAACUCAGGGAAGUAAGACAAUGAGCACUUGGGAUGUCUUGACACAAUUUAUAGUACGGGUAAUCCCCCCAAAAUUUGAUUAAGAGCCCUAGAUACGAAGAUGAUUUUUGAAGUUGUGCUAAACUUGAAAACCAGGUAUUAGGUAUAUACUUCAACUGAGAUGCAUGUUAGUCGAAGUAAGUGGGGUUUUGUUUUUCAAGGCCACGAGAUGACUAAAAGAUGUUUUCAAGAUUACUCUUUCCACUCCUGGUUGUGGUGGUUUUGCAAGAGAUGAAUGGACAAGAGAGUGCACUUUAGGUUGAUGUGUUUAUAAAUCAAGAAUUCGGAGUUACUACUAGUGCAGCAGUGUUGAUUAGCAUGCUGGUUUGGAUAUGACUGCUUUAUCUUCUUUGCUUACUCUGGCUUCAAUUUUACCGACAAUAACAAAUAUUGGAAAUUGUUAUUCCCAGAGUUUUUUCUUUUUUCUUCCAGAUUUUAUAAUUUUUAUAACAUUUGAUAUUACAAUAUGUCAUAAAUAUAUGAACAUUUCUUGGAGUA
Long non-coding RNA from Daucus carota subsp. sativus, 581 nucleotides. RefSeq lists it as uncharacterized. The transcript has 3 exons. Lineage: Eukaryota; Viridiplantae; Streptophyta; Magnoliopsida; Apiales; Apiaceae. The record is from RefSeq and is a predicted model, not a curated record.